AUUAGACAGAUAUCUUUUUGAAUAUCCCAGCACACACAAAAUAAGAUUACACACGCCAGACAACAUAACACAGAUUUAAAUUAGACAGAUAUCUUUUUGAGUAUCCCAGCACACACAAAAUAAGGUUACACACACCAGACAACAUAACACAGAUUUAAAUUACAGAGAUAGCUUUUUGAGUAUCCUAGCACACACAAAGUAAGAUACACAGCCAAGACAAAUGGUAUUACAAAAAACAUAGCCUGUUGCACAACAACAGCAUGGCUCCAUUGUCUUCCUCUUUAAGAAUUCCGAGAAGCAUUUCGUCCUGGCAUCAGAAGGGACAACACAUGAGAACCAAAUUAAGCAUAACAUGAAAUAAGAAAAAUGU
This 370-nucleotide long non-coding RNA is filed under the name Triticum aestivum (bread wheat). Its description in RNAcentral is "long non-coding RNA (TAES_LNC007537)". Lineage: Eukaryota; Viridiplantae; Streptophyta; Magnoliopsida; Poales; Poaceae. The record is from RNAcentral.